Molecule: non-coding RNA, 57 nt
Organism: Microvirga aerilata
Lineage: Bacteria; Pseudomonadati; Pseudomonadota; Alphaproteobacteria; Hyphomicrobiales; Methylobacteriaceae
Source: Rfam
ACCGGGGUCCGGGCCCCUCUGACAGUCUGCCCAAGGCUGUGAUGUCGGACUCUCUCA